Molecule: unclassified non-coding RNA, 172 nt
Filed under: soil metagenome
Description: partial internal transcribed spacer 1
Source: RNAcentral
CAGAGUUGAAGACUCCCUAAACCAUCGGUGAACGUUACCUCUAACCGUUGCCUUCGGCGGGCGGGCUCCUUCAGCCCCCCCCUUGGUCCCCCUUCGCGGGGGCGCCCGCCGGAGGAUACCCAAACUCUUGACCUUAGUGGCCUCUCUGAGUAUUCUUUACUGAAUUAAGUCA